RNAcentral lists this transfer RNA (71 nucleotides) under Pythium insidiosum. RNAcentral's name for it is "tRNA-Glu". It matches the Rfam family "tRNA". Rfam says of the family: Transfer RNA (tRNA) molecules are approximately 80 nucleotides in length. Their secondary structure includes four short double-helical elements and three loops (D, anti-codon, and T loops). Lineage: Eukaryota; Oomycota; Peronosporomycetes; Pythiales; Pythiaceae. The record is from RNAcentral.
UCCCAGAUAGUCUAGGUGUUAGGAUAGCUGGCUCUCACCCAGCAGACCCGGGUUCGAGUCCGGUCUGGGAA